AGAGUUUGAUCCUGGCUCAGGACGAACGCUGGCGGCGUGCCUAAAACAUGCAAGUCGAACGAGGUCCAUCCAGUGGCAACACUGGGGAAGACCUAGUGGCGAACGGGUGAGUAACACGUGAGGAACCUGCCCCGAAGACCGGGAUAACCCUCCGAAAGGAGAGCUAAUACCGGAUGCCCCCACCAGAUCGCAUGGUCAGGUGAGGAAAUGGAUUCCGCUUCGGGAGGGCCUCGCGGCCUAUCAGCUUGUUGGUGGGGUAACGGCCUACCAAGGCAUCGACGGGUAGCUGGUCUGAGAGGACGAUCAGCCACACUGGGACUGAGACACGGCCCAGACUCCUACGGGAGGCAGCAGUUAGGAAUCUUGCGCAAUGGGCGAAAGCCUGACGCAGCAACGCCGCGUGGGGGACGAAGGCUCUCGGGUUGUAAACCCCUUUCAGUGGGGACGAAUCAAGACGGUACCCACAGAAGAAGCCCCGGCCAACUACGUGCCAGCCGCCGCGGUAAUAC
RNAcentral lists this ribosomal RNA (509 nucleotides) under uncultured bacterium. RNAcentral describes it as "bacterial SSU rRNA". It matches the Rfam family "Bacterial small subunit ribosomal RNA", at positions 8 to 526 of the family's 1533-position model. The record is from RNAcentral.